This 451-nucleotide ribosomal RNA is filed under the name Tannerella forsythia. RNAcentral's name for it is "bacterial SSU rRNA". It matches the Rfam family "Bacterial small subunit ribosomal RNA", at positions 28 to 474 of the family's 1533-position model. The record is from RNAcentral. Lineage: Bacteria; Pseudomonadati; Bacteroidota; Bacteroidia; Bacteroidales; Tannerellaceae.
GAUGAACGCUAGCGAUAGGCUUAACACAUGCAAGUCGAGGGGCAUCGAGGGUAGCAAUACCUGUCGGCGACCGGCGCACGGGUGAGUAACGCGUAUGUAACCUGCCCGCAACAGAGGGAUAACCCGGCGAAAGUCGGACUAAUACCUCAUAAAACAGGGGUUCCGCAUGGGGCUAUUUGUUAAAGAUUUAUUGGUUGCGGAUGGGCAUGCGUACCAUUAGGUAGUUGGUGAGGUAACGGCUCACCAAGCCAUCGAUGGUUAGGGGUUCUGAGAGGAAGGUCCCCCACACUGGUACUGAGACACGGACCAGACUCCUACGGGAGGCAGCAGUGAGGAAUAUUGGUCAAUGGGCGAGAGUCUGAACCAGCCAAGUCGCGUGAAGGAUGACUGCCCUAUGGGUUGUAAACUUCUUUUACAGGGGAAUAAAAAUGAGAUAACGUGUAAUUUAAUG